This 253-nucleotide ribosomal RNA is filed under the name uncultured bacterium. RNAcentral describes it as "partial 16S ribosomal RNA". It matches the Rfam family "Bacterial small subunit ribosomal RNA", at positions 524 to 776 of the family's 1533-position model. The record is from RNAcentral.
UACGUAGGGUGCAGGCGUUAAUCGGAAUUACUGGGCGUAAAGCGUGCGCAGGCGGUUUCUUAAGUCAGAUGUGAAAGCCCCGGGCUUAACCUGGGAACUGCGUUUGAAACUGGGAGACUUGAGUGCGGCAGAGGGGGGUGGAAUUCCACGUGUAGCAGUGAAAUGCGUAGAUAUGUGGAGGAACACCAAUGGCGAAGGCAGCCCCCUGGGUCAACACUGACGCUCAUGCACGAAAGCGUGGGGAGCAAACAGG